AAUGAACGCUGGCGGCGGGCCUAAUACAUGCAAGUCGAGCGGACACACAGUAAGCUUUUGCCUCUACGGGUGGCGAGUGGCGGACGGGUGACGCGUACAUAGCCUUCUACUUUUUCGUGGGGGAUUUCGUAAGGCAGCUUCUGCUACUACAGAAUAUAAUGUACCGCAUGAAGCAGUAGUUCUUCGCACCUUUCGCGUCUGAUUUAGCCGGUUCCGCGCCGCAUUAGCUAGUUGGUAAGGUAACGGCAUACCAAGGCGACGAUGCGUAGCCGACCUGAGAGGAUGAUCAGCCACACUGGAACUGAGACACGGUCCAGACUCCUACGGGAGGCAGCAGUAGGGAAUAUUGGGCAAUGGGCGAAAGCCUGAUGGAGCCAUACCGCGUGAGUGAUGAAGGCCUUCGGAUCGUAAAGCCCUGUUGUUGGGAAAGAAAAGCAGCAGAUUUAUCCCCCGCUGUUCUGACGGUACCCAAAGAGUAAGCACCGGCUAACUUCGUG
RNAcentral lists this ribosomal RNA (497 nucleotides) under uncultured bacterium. RNAcentral describes it as "partial 16S ribosomal RNA". It matches the Rfam family "Bacterial small subunit ribosomal RNA", at positions 29 to 507 of the family's 1533-position model. The record is from RNAcentral.